Molecule: non-coding RNA, 1546 nt
Organism: Microcebus murinus (gray mouse lemur)
Lineage: Eukaryota; Metazoa; Chordata; Mammalia; Primates; Cheirogaleidae
Source: RefSeq, a predicted model, not a curated record
UACAAAGAAUGACUAUGAUUCACCCAUUUCCCCAUUUUUUUUCCAGCUAAGUAUUUUAAAAGAAUCUGGAAUUCCUUAUCCAAUUUGUGCUUAUCUAAUUUUAACUUAGAACGAACAUGACUUUAUAUUCUGCAUAUUUUAAAUAUUUAGUAAAAGGACAUCUCUUUCCAAAGAUUCUAAAUUAUUCAAAUGAUGAGGGGAUUGAUACUCCUCACUGACCUGGUAUUUAAAAUAUACAUAUAUUCCAGCAUUUAAUUCACAGAGAAAAGGAUUUUUUUAAAAAUACAUUUUAUGCACAGAAAUAACAGGCACAUUUGAAUAUAACAAAGAGCAGCUUAUUUUAGGCACAUGAAAUGAAAAAUGAUCACACAGGUUCACGUAGCUUGUGAAAAUAGACCCCGAUAUUAUAAAUGUAGCUCCUGCUUGCUCAAUGAUCUUGUCCUUUGAGACAAAGCCAUAUCUGUGUGUCCACGUCUAGUUGCUUAUAUUUCCAUACAUAUGUGCGAAAGCUUUGAAGGCAGUAAACAAAUUUGAGGACAGAAACAUUUUUCUUUUAAUACCAAGGGCGAGAGCACUUCCCCCAUGAACAUCUCAGGAAAAAAAACAGCAAGAGUGACACUUGUCUCCAGCGCCUCCUGAAACAUUACGCCGCUAAUACCGAACACCUCCGUGCUGCUGAGAGGAACCCUCGAGCCACAGGAAGCUGCCUGCCGUUCACAAGCUGGUGCCUUGUAAGCCUCCACGUCUUACCUGAGUUUGCAGAUGGGCCAUUUCCCAGGUGGGCCUGGCCAAACACUCCUCAUUAAUCAUGGCUUAAACCUCUCUCAGUGGAGAGACCUCAGGAGCAGAGAAAGUUGGAUUUCUCAAUUUAAGCUUUCUACUUCUAGAGAGUACAUCUUCCUUCCAAUUCUGGUUUUCUCCAAAAACAAGAAGAAGCCAUAAUGUUGAAUAAACAAGAGUCCAUAAAGUUGUAUGAAUGAGCAAGUCAUCAAGGCUGAAAUGAAACCAGAAUUUGAAAUUAAGUGACUUGUGGGUUGUUGCAGUUCCAAGCUAAAUUUCCAAGGAAAUGACAUUGAAUAUAUAGAGAUUUCCUCCCCUUAUUUCCACUGUCUGAAGAAACACACAUGCAGAAAGAAAUUGGAAAAGGAUUCUAAUUUAAACAUAUUUUUAAAAUUAAAACAACAGAGUUCUACAUUACUGUUGUGAACUUCUAGGCUCUUGAAAUCUCUUAUUUUAAUAUUAUAAACUUGCCCAUGGAAUUUUUAUUUGAAAUUAUAGAUUGAUAGGAUUCUGGGCUCUACAAAUUUGCUGAAACCUGAAUUAAAUUUAAAUCUCAAAAUCUAUAAGUCAACCCCAAAACUGAUCCUCCUUUUUUAAAAAACAAUUUUCUAUUGACUCUACCAUAUAUCACUAAUGGAUAGGAAUUGGAAUGGGGAAGAAAAGACAAAACAAAAACAAGAAAUUGCACCUCCAUGAGGAGUGGAGCAGUGGAUACCCUUUGACUAGGUCUGGAUUUUUAAAUGAAAUAAAGUCAUUGAGAUGAUGA